AGCGUAGGCGGACAUUUAAGUCAGGGGUGAAAUCCCAGAGCUCAACUCUGGAACUGCCUUUGAUACUGGGUAUCUUGAGUAUGGAAGAGGUAAGUGGAAUUCCGAGUGUAGAGGUGAAAUUCGUAGAUAUUCGGAGGAACACCAGUGGCGAAGGCGACACACUGGCUCAUUACUGACGCUGAGGCUCGAAAGCGUGGGGAGCAAACA
Molecule: ribosomal RNA, 207 nt
Filed under: uncultured bacterium
Lineage: Bacteria
Description: partial 16S ribosomal RNA
Rfam family: Bacterial small subunit ribosomal RNA
Source: RNAcentral